RNAcentral lists this ribosomal RNA (253 nucleotides) under uncultured bacterium. RNAcentral describes it as "partial 16S ribosomal RNA". It matches the Rfam family "Bacterial small subunit ribosomal RNA", at positions 524 to 776 of the family's 1533-position model. The record is from RNAcentral.
UACGUAGGGUGCGAGCGUUAAUCGGAAUUACUGGGCGUAAAGCGUGCGCAGGCGGUUCGUUAAGUUUGAUGUGAAAGCCCCGGGCUCAACCUGGGAAUUGCAUUGGAAACUGGCGGGCUUGAGUGUGGCAGAGGGGGGUGGAAUUCCACGUGUAGCAGUGAAAUGCGUAGAGAUGUGGAGGAACACCGAUGGCGAAGGCAGCCCCCUGGGCUAACACUGACGCUCAGGCACGAAAGCGUGGGGAGCAAACAGG